RNAcentral lists this ribosomal RNA (506 nucleotides) under uncultured bacterium. RNAcentral describes it as "partial 16S ribosomal RNA". The record is from RNAcentral.
GGAGUUAGCCGGUGCUUCUUCUGUGAGUGAUGUCCUUCCUGCCGGCUAUUAACCCGCAGGCCUUCUUCCUCACUGAAAGUGCUUUACAACCCGAAGGCCUUCUUCACACACGCGGCAUGGCUGGAUCAGGGUUGCCCCCAUUGUCCAAUAUUCCCCACUGCUGCCUCCCGUAGGAGUCUGGGCCGUGUCUCAGUCCCAGUGUGGCUGAUCAUCCUCUCAGACCAGCUACGGAUCGUCGCCUUGGUGAGCCGUUACCUCACCAACCAGCUAAUCCGACAUAGGCUCAUCCGAUAGCGCGAGGCCCGAAGGUCCCCCGCUUUCCCCCGUAGGGCGUAUGCGGUAUUAGCCUGGGUUUCCCCAGGGUUAUCCCCCACUACCGGGCAGAUUCCUAUGCAUUACUCACCCGUCCGCCGCUCGCCACCAGGGAGCAAGCUCCCCGUGCUGCCGCUCGACUUGCNUGUGUAGCUCGCCGCCACGCGUCAUCUGAGCAUGAUACAACUACUCGA